RNAcentral lists this unclassified non-coding RNA (11992 nucleotides) under Leishmania donovani. RNAcentral describes it as "gene:LdHU3.20.1310(CDS-product:hypothetical_prote in_conserved)". Lineage: Eukaryota; Euglenozoa; Kinetoplastea; Trypanosomatida; Trypanosomatidae. The record is from RNAcentral.
CACACGCAUAGCUACGUGCGGUGAUUGGAUUUCCACCAUACCCUUUGUUUUUCGGUUCCUCUUUUAGCUCUCCACUUUCUUCUCAGCUAGCCUCCUCCCACACUCCGCCGCUUGCCAGCGCAUCGUCCUACCCACCUCCUACUCCGACUACACGCCUACGCGUAAUCCUCGCUUCACGUGCGACUUUCCGUGCGUGUCUUAGCACGUGCGUGUGUACAUGUCUGUACGUUUUCGUAUCCAUUUCCUUUUUCGUUUGUUUUCGCUCUCCCGUCUGCUGUGUGUAUUAGUUAAGCACACAUAAUCUUCACCGCUAAAAUUCCUCUCUACCCCGCCCGCCCUCACAUCCCUCUCUCACGCGCAGAACAGGUACAGUCGCCAUCACAUCAUCAUCAUAGUUUUUUUGUUGUUGCCACUGCCACAUUAACGCGUCCCCUUUCUGUCUGUGUGUCUGUAUGCGUGUGCGUGCGUGUGUGUGUGUGUGCGUCGCUCUUUGUGUGUGAAGGAGUCGGAACGACUCCUGCAGCUGUUUUGUUUUGCUGUUGUUAGUGGUGGCUUCGCCUUUCUUUUCCCUUGUUGCUUGCAUUGCCCACUUGUGUGGGGGUCUGUGUCCUCUGCGUGAGUUUAUUUGUUUGACACGCCUCACUCUCCUCUGGUUUUUCCUCUUCCUCUCUUCUUUUUCUCGAGCCCCUCUUCCUCCUCUUCCUCCUCUUCCUCCUCCCCCUGCUUCUCCAUCCUUCUCUCAGCCGGGAAAGCAAGGAGGUGCGCGUGCGAUCGAGAUCGCAGACGUGCGUGUUGUAGAGAGUUGAAGCAUACGCAGAAAGGCCCUUCCCUCCAUCCCCCCUCCCUCACGUCCCUCUCUCCUACCCACCACCCUUCGUCAGUCGCGCAGACGCAACCGCCAUCGUUGUUUGUGAGUGUGUAUGAGUUUCUUCGUUCUAACAGCACGUUAUCCACACCCGCAUACUCUAACGUAUUCACCAUCUACACCGCCCAUUCUCCUCUCAAGCCGCGUGUGCGUAAGGAAAUCUGAAGCGUUGCAUCCGCCAUCGGUCAUAGAUACGGGUGGACAGCGAUAGAGGCGGCGAAGAGAAACGGGCAUUCCGAAGAAAAAGGAAAACCUAGAAAACGCAGUCAAGCUCCCAAAGCAACGGGCGGCUCGUUUUCUGCUCUUUCCAUGUGACAGAAGUCGUGUUCACCCCCCCCACCACCUCCCCUUCUCCUUGCAUCGACACACCCGCAGACCGACAGAGAUACAGAGAGAGAGAGGUAAACAGGUAGGAACAUCUCCAGCACGUCUCUCUCUCUCUCGAACGCGCGCGCGAGCUUUCUCCGUCUCCAGCGCGUGUGCAUGUGUGCAUGUGUGUGUGUGUGUGUGUGUGUCCUCGAGGCCCUGAUCGCCGUAUUGCUUUGCCUUGCCAUUUUACAGCCUCUCUCACACGCACGCCAUCUCUCGCCCCCUCCCUCUGAGGUGUGCGUGUCGUUCCGCACACGUAUCGACCGCUGGUUCUUUUUCGUCUUGCCAUUUCGCCUCUCCGCGUGCGUCUCUCGUCCUCUAUCCACCACCGCCGCCACCGCCCUCCUCCCUCCCCCUUCCCCACUUGUUCAUAGUGCUACCUUUUCUUCUGCAUCUCACCCUCUACCAGCUUAAGUGUGUGUGUGCGUCCGUCUUUCUGUCUGUCGGUCUCUCUGUGCUCCGCUCACCCCUCUUUUCGUCAAGAACUCUUUCUCGUCUCUGCCACUAACCCCACCUCUAUCCCAAUCCCCCGCACACGCAGACGCACAGGCGUUUCUGCUUCUCUCCUCUUUCCUGCUCGUGUGCGUGUGUGAGUCUCUUGGGUUGCUUUCCAAAGGCCUCUUCUCGCCUCCUCCCCUCCUUCUCUCCCUCACGCCGUCUUCAGCAUACGGGGCGUACAUCAGACACGUGAGUCACCAUGCUGGGGAUGCCAGUGUCUAAGUCCAACAGCGGCGAUGCGGGCCGCGGCGACUACGAGUACGGCGAGUACGAUGGGGUAAUGGACGUGGAGGCGAUUCUACACACGACCGGCGGCGCGUCGCCCAACUCGACCGGCAGCCCCACCGUGGCCGGCAGCGACAUUGGCGUGUACGGGAACUACAUGAGCAUUCAAGGCGAUAACCGCAACGGCGGCAUCCCUACACCGCUUGGUCGUGGAGCGCCUCGCAAGCCCACCCGCAUGAAUGUGAGCCCUGCCGUCAACGGAGAUAACCAGUCCGCCGCGCCGUCCUCGGCAGCCACAACACCAGGCUUCCACGGCGCAGUGGUCGGAAGCAGCUCUGACGGGGCUGCCGCCCCGACCGCGGCGCGCCGUGCGAACGGGUCGCACACGUCGGCCGAGGCGGACACACACGACGCCAGCGCCUUGUCCGCCCGCCAUGGCACACGAAAGUCGCUGCAUACAGACGACGUCGUGCAUCUUCCAGCGAUCGGCAACCAGCAGCAGGUGCGCAAGAAGGCAAGCGAGGUCUUCCCUACUCGCGCGCGGGCGGCUGCGUCAGCCCCGGAUUCCUCAAAUGCGGCCACCUCACCCACCAGCAGCAACGGCAACGCCCGCGCUGCGGGGACCGGCGGCAAGUCGGUGACCAGCGCUGGAAACUUUGAGUCUCUUCAGGCCCCUACCGACAGCUGCGGCGCCGCCUCAAGCAACCAAUACACCGCGUCUGUCGCGGCAUGCAAGCAUAAGCCGCCAUACCAUGCACCGCCGCUCUCGCCGCUGACAGCGAAGGGUCGUCACGGCAGCACUGAUGUCAACCGCACCAGUGCGGCAGGCAGUGCUGCGAUUGGCAGCAGCGUUGGCGCCAGUCUCCAAGACGUCGGUACGCGGCAUCGGUCAGCCACAGACGGCACGGUGAAGCGUGGUGAGUCUGUGGGGACGGAUGAGGGUGGCUACAUGAACGGCCACUGCGGCAGGGCGGCGACGCACCACACAGCGGGCAGCAGCAGCAAAGUCGUGACCGUCUCCAAGACGAACGGGUGGGUCAAGGAAGAGGCACGCCGGCUUGACCACCGCGCCUCAGCCUCGUCCAACACGGCAACCUCGCCCAGGGGUGAUCCGCAGGCUUUCGAGGACGCUAUCAACAGCCUAAAGUCCCGCAACAUCACCCACCAGGCCGCCUCACAGUUCCCACGGGAGCGCAUGAAGGACAAGCCGAGUAAAGGCAGCAUCAGCGCCAAGAGCCCAUCUGCCGACGGCAGAGAUUCGGCGCUCGGCCACAACAGCAACGAAGAUGUCAACACGCACGCGAAGGUAAACACUUCACCGGUGCCGGUGACCCCCAAGGCAUACGUGUGGGCUGGUGACUACGAGAUGGCCAGCACCCCCGGCGUCGGCUCAACGAACUUCAGCGUUGUGCCGAUGCCCAAGGUCAGUCCGCGCCCCUUCGCGGGCGGGCUCAAGCCGUCGACAGCGGUGGACAGCAACAACCGUAGCGGCACCAAGUCUCCUCCGCAGGCCGCUGCGCAGAUCGUCCAUCCUCUCUCGGCAGAAGCCGUGGCGGCCGCCUCUGGCAACGGCGUCACGUCCUCGACAGAGUCCGCCAUCACGCCGCUGCGGAAGGUGUUCACGCGGCCGCAGAAGCCAGCAUCGAACAACAGCGGAGCAGCAGCGCAGGCAGCGCAGAGCACGUGCCCGAUCCCUCACGUCCCGCUCACGAAUCCUCCGGUGGCCACCGCUACCUCUAGCCGCUUCAACAACGCGGCCCAGAGCGCUGCUGCAUCGGCGUCUCCAACACCGUCAAAGACGGCAUUGAUGUCUGGUCAUGCAGUGGCAGCCGCGAAAGGCGACAAGCCGCCGUCUGCCCCGCACACGCCGACCUUGUCGCAUCGGCGCAUCAUGAAUGCCGUUGACACCAGCCAGCACUCCCACGCCCACUACCCAGGCGCAGCUGAGCAGACCUCCCCCACCUACGGCUCUAGCCGUGUGGCAACACACGACCAAGCAAGCGAUGCUGGGAUGGGCUUGCCCUACUCGGAUGAGCGCCGCGCGGCGUUAGAAGCAUGGGCAGACGUAUUGGUGUUAAGCAUCACCAUUCGAGGCCAGAACCUCGCGCCGACCCACAGAGCACGCGAGAUGGCGAAGAUGCGCGCACGCCCCGCUGAUGCGCGGCAGAUGUACGCCCCUGUGAAUGGGCAGGGUCGUCAAGAGGUAGCAGGCGAGCCGUGCGAUUUGAACUACGACGUGCACAACGUUGUCGUGCAGCUGCGCCACCGCAACAGGCCUCUGGUGAUGAACUACCCGCCUCGUUUGCCUCUAGAGGCGGACAUGCGGCCACGCAUGCGGCGCCAGCGCACACCCCGCAGCUUCUAUGGGAAUCGCAUGCCGCACGUCGGGGACGCGUGGUUCAAGGACGCGCUGAACGACGCACGCAUGGUCGAAUCGCCCGACGUCGAGUCCAUGGAGAAGCGUGAAGAGGCAGAGUUCAUCCGCAACGGAGGUGACCCGGCAACCCGGCGCAACCGCUACGGGCAGGCGAACAACGCGUAUGGUCAUCAGCAACAACAACAAACGCCACUUCAGCAGGGCGGCGGUGGCGGUGCUGAGGUGGAGGCGGGCAUCGAUGCCGUGAACCGCAACGGCAUGCGUAUGGAGCAGCCGGCGUCGUAGCGCGAGAAGGGAUCAGCGUGGGGAACAAGAGACGACGCGGUAGAGGCGUCUUCGGUUUUUUCCCUUUCUUGGGACGCUGCAGGGGUGAAGAAGCACGUGUAUGGCGUGCGUUUGUGGCCUGUGUUCACCGCAGGUGCACUCACAUGCUCAGCAUAUUGUGUGUGUGUGUGUGUGUGUCGCUCUGCAGCCAGUAUCCCCUCAUGGAUGGCCUGCCUAGAUAAGGGUGUCUUUGGUGGUCGCGUCAGUGCCCCGGCGGGUGUAUGGUGAAAUGUGAGCCCGCCUCUCUCUUCAGCUCUCCUCCGCCUCCCUGCUGAGGACACCCGCCGGAUCUUGCGCUUGAGGCAGCCGAGCCGUCUCCAUCCAGGAGGUCUGACGGCAGAUGAUGGUGAGAAUUGGCGAUUCGGCAGAACUUGCCCGAGAAGCAGCAAAGAAAACGCGUUCAUGCCGGCUCUGCUAUCGUGUGGCACGAUCGCUCUCUUGCUAUGUCUUGUCGGCUCCCUCUCUCUCUCUAACACACACGCACAAGGGCUAAGAGAAGGAAACUCUUCCCACCCCUUCUCCGUACCCAUGUCUAUGCGCGCCUCUUGUUCGAGCACCUCUUUUUUGGUCAUAUACGCCGCCCUCUUCCGGUGAUGUUCUUACUGUAAUCGGCCCGUGUGUACAUUUCUUCUUGUUUGCCUGCGUGCGUGUGUGUGUGGUGUGUGAAGGAGGAGGGAGGGAAAGAUACCAAGGAGGGCCGAGAGAAAAGCAGGAUAAGGGAGAGAUUCAUUGGCAUACUGCGACGUGGUAUGUAUGUGUGUGUUUCAAACUUUGGCCCCGAAAACCGUUAUGGCGAUCCAUCACGUGCGGAGCGUCUCUCCUUUUUUGGUUAGCUGGUUGGUUGUUGUUCUUUCUCUCCCUCUCCCCUCCUUCAACGACGCACUUCCCUCUCUCUCCUUUUUUCUCCUUCCCCUUCCUCUUUCCCUCCCUCGCUCUUGUCUUACUUAUGCGUAUGCGUAGGUUCGAGGGAAGAGGGGAGGGGGACGGACUUGUGCUGCGAAUGCACUUUGGUUCUCUCUCCCCCUCCCCCUAAAAACGCUGACAGCUGUUCGGUUUUUUUGUUGUUGUUGCUCUCCCACCCCACCCACCCCCACUCCCUCGCUUCUUCUCCAGCCCGCGACAGCGUCUCUCGUAUCAUGUGUAUUCUCGUCACCAAUUUUUCUUGUUUAUCGUGAGUCUCGCUCUGUAUGUAAGCAAGUGCCUCUGACGCCCUCCUUUUCCCUUUCCCCAACCGACCGCAGCCCAGACGAACUGCGCUUUCACGCUCGACCUGUACGCUCCCUCUCCCUACGCCCCCCCCCUCCUGAUGUGUGCCGCUCAUCCUCCCUACGUCGCGGUCUUUUCCUUCGCCGCUCUUUUUGUUUAUUUUUGUUUGUCAUUGCUGCUAUUUUCUCUUGCGUCGCGCUUGCGCGUGUGCCAGCGCAGCACCACCACUAUCACCACCCCCUCCUCUUGCUUUACCGUUUGUAUGUAUGCGUGUGUGUCAUCUCCGCGUGCGUGCGUACGCCCUCGCUGUUGUGUAGUCCAAGUAUGUUGCUGUCUUGCCUGUGUUCUUCUUAUGUGUGUGUGUUUUUCAUGUGGCGGCUUGCGAGAAGGUGCGGCACCAGCGUACGCGUACACGCAGGCGCACAGAGGCCAACACUGACAUCCGUAUACAGAGAAACGCAUGCCUGUCCCUUGAGCUGUAGUAGGAAAUCGCUUCUUUCUGUCUCUCUCUCGCUCUCUGCGUCGUCCCGCUCCCAACCCACCCAUCCACCUCCCAUCCCCUUUCGCUCCCCAUGGAUGCUGAGCGCCUACGUUUGGCUUUCGCUUCGGCUUUGCUGUAAAGGCGUAUGCGGGUGUGCGCACUCUCUUUUUUUUGGGGGGGAGGGAGGGAGUUCCUCCCUCAGUGUUGUUUUGCCCUACAUGCCCCAAUGUGUUCGUUUGGUUGGUUUUCGCAUAUGUAUAUGUACAUAUCUAUAGACGUGUGUGUGUGCGCGCGCUUUAUAUUUUUUUUUUUCGAAUUUUUGGCUGCAAGACCGUCUUCAUAGCACACAACGUUUUUUUUUCUUUUUGCGCAUGUAUGUGCAUGCGUAUAUAUAGAUACAUUUGUGUAUGUGUUGUUGUCCUUUUGUUUCUGUUUUUUUUUGUUUGUUUGUUUUUUUCGGCUGCAUGCGCACGCAGUCUGACCACACCCUGCUGUCGUGUUUACGCCAUUAUCGCUGUUUGCACCCUCAUGAGCCUCUUCCGUGGAUGUGUUUACCCGCGCGCGCCAGCGAUGAUGAUGCCCCACAUAAGCAACUGCAGGAGACGAUUAUGCCAUCUGCACAGAGGCACAGGAAGUGGUGCAGGCGAGUAGGAAAACGAAAGAGGAACAAAACAGCUCAAAACGAUGGCGUCAGCCGUCUCGCCCUUCAAGAGAGGGCCCGAGAUGCUUGAAAGAAAGUGCAGCGGCAGCAGCAGCAGUGCACACACGGGUAUGCUCGCGCACCUCUCUGGGGGAGAGGACGCUCUCGUCCUUUUUCUGUAGCUCGUCACUUUUCCACUUUCCCUCUUCCUGUUUUCGCUCAUGUCUUCAGCUCGCUUUGUGAGCGUACGCGUGUGCUGUGUCCCUCUUCAGAUCAUCGUCCCCCUCCCCUUCCUGCUUUGCCCUCGUCCUUCUUUCACAUCUACGUAGACAGCUCUUCCCAUUUCGCCAUCCGUGUCCCUACUCUCUUGUUCUGCCACGAAUGUUUCUUGUUCGGUUUGGAUUUUGUCCUCCGUUUUUUUUUUUCCUCGCCCUUCCUGUUGCUUUCAAAUUCCCCAUGUGUGCGUGUGUGUGCGCUCCCCUACCCCCUACUCACCUUCCUGCCUACACUCUUUCCUCAUCAGUGUGCGAGUGGCACUAGUCAUGUACGUGUGGGCGUUGGUGAGUGCUUGUGUCUUGUCGUGGUCCUCCUCUUUGCAUCCCUGGCCUCAUACUAUGUUUACCUUCCUCUCUCUCUUUCCCCCGCUGUCCCACACGAUCCCCUCCCCUCUCCUGCCGUCCCUCAUAUGAAAAGCCGAGCAGACGACAUGGAAGCACGCCACGCGCACGGAGGGGGGGGGAAUGCGGAGACAACCGAUCCUGCUCCUCUCUUUCUCCGCAUUUUCCCUCCCUGGAAUUUUUCCCAGAAGAAAAUAGGGUAACAGACGCGCUUCCGGACUAUCAGCACCCCCCCACCCCCCCCCACCCCACUCACCCUCCGGCAUCUCCAACAUCCACCCCAAACCGUCUCUGCAUCCCACUCCCACAUUUCUUUGAUAGCGAGUUUUGCUUUUUGGUAUCCAUUGCUCCCUCCUCCCAUACGUUUUGCUUUUACUCAUCGCGACUCUCUCCCCCUGUGCGCUCAUCAGCCCGUGGCGCGCACAGCUCCUGUCAGCUUCUUGGCCCUUUUUCGGCUUCCGCUCCAUUCUGGCUUUCCCGUCACUGCGCUUGCAUGUUACGCUGGCUGCUUUGCUUCACUUCUUUUUGAACCUGUCCGUGCCUCCCUCUGUUCUCUCCCCUCCCCUCCGCCUCCUCCCCUUCGUGUGUGUGUGUGUAUGCCUUUGAGCACCGCUUGGAUGCUCGUGUUGUUGCCUUGUGUAUGCUCGGACUUCGAGGCCACCCGACCCGCCCAUGCUGUCCCCCAGAGUCAUUGCCCCUCUCACACGUCACGUCACCUCCACGUGAUGCUCCUUGGCGUGCUUCAUUGUUGUUGCUUCUGUAUAUAUAUAUAUGUAUGUGUGUGUGUGUGUGUGUUUGUGUGUUGUCCUAAUCUAAUUUGUUUUGCGGUUUUAUGCGAGACCCAUUAUAGUGACCUCCAUUCUGUCCCUCUCUUUCUCUCCGCAUCGGUUUCCAAAUAUAUAUAUAUAUAUACGUACACCUAUGUGCUCGUCUACUACCUUUGGUGCUCUUGGACGGGGGGAGGGCGGUCGAUGCGAUGGUUCUCUCCACCCCACCCGCCACCACCACCACCCCACUGCCGUUCAUUUUCUUUUUUGUCUGUCCUCUUUGUCUUUCCGCAUUUCCUUUUUUUUUUACCUGCUUCCUUGGGCUCUGCAGCGCCCUCCGUCACACACUCUUUUUGUUGUCUAAUGUUGUUGGGUGUAGCCGUUGUUGUUGUCUUUGGGGGAAAUUGUGGGAAGGGAAGGGGAGUAUCCGUGACUGCUCUGGGCCUUCAAAAAUCUGCUCUUUUUUUUUGCUUCUCUAUUUGCCACCGCUGUCACCAACACCACACCGCCACCACCCCCUGCUCGUCAUGCACCACGGCGGCUUGGGUGUUGCUACGGCUUCUUAUAUAUGUGUGUUUCGGUGUGUGUGUGUGUGUCGUUUUUUUUUUCGCUGUUUCGUUGCUGUCGCUGCCUUGAAUUUUUUGUUUUGUGUGGCGUUAUGCUUGUGCACUGUACUCCUUCCGUUUUCUUUUUUUCUGUGCGUGGCUGUGUGUGUGGCGUGUGCGUGCUCCUGUGUGGUUCAUGGCUUCUGCAUCUCUCUCCCUCUCGCUUAUUCAUUUCUGUGUGCUUCUUCAUGUACAAUCACCUCCCGCCGUUUGUUUUGUUUGUUUUUCGGCCUCUGAUGCCGCUGCCGCUCCUGCUCCCUCUAUCUCCCUGCGAGUCCGUUUCGGCGUUGUUCGUAUCUUCGUGCCUUCCCUUCACUUCGCCAGCAUUACCUUGUUUUUUUCUUCGUGUCGUCCUUAUCUACGCCCUCCGCGCAUGUGUGUGGGUGGGUGGAAUGCAUGGGCAUCCGAGUGGGCACAAGAGCAGAAAAACGGAAAAAGAAAAAAACGGUCAGAAGAACGGCCGAAGAGCACAAGCUGCGGACGGGAAAAUAAAAAUGGCCGCGCCGGCACGGUGAGCGUGCAGCGGCAAUCAAGUCGGGUGCACGUAGGACACGGCGACUUCCUCGCAUUGACACACGCAAAGAUGGGAGCGUGCAAGAGGGAGCCAAAUGCAGGUUUCGAUCAUGUGCAAAAAUGAGCUCAGAACCACAACGGGUCCUUUUCUUUGGUGGGUGGGCAGGUGGGUGUAUAUAAAGGAAGACGAAAAAGAGCAUACUAGUCGAAGCAAGAAGAGCUGUGUUUUGUGAGGGAUAAGCAGCAUGCGGAGUUUGAAGAUUUACGCAUUAUGACUUCUCUGCUCCCUUCUUGUUCACUGAUGCGUCUUCUGAGGCCAUGCUGCAGCUACCAUGUUUGAAGCUGUAUCUCUUCAAAGAAGUUUGAGCGAUGGGAAAGAGCGAGCGGAGUGGUCUUCUUGUGCUAUGGAAUGCCUCUGUGGACUCGUCAUCCCUUCCCCACCGACCCCCUCAGAUAAACACACAAUCACUCCUCGACUCCUCUGUUCUUCUUGUCCACUCUUUGCAUCCGCGCCUCUUCUUGUCGCGUUCAUGUUUCACGUGCAGGAUUUAUGCCCCCCCCUCCUCCCUCGUCAUCCCUGCGUGUAUAUACUGCAUGUGUUCCCUUUAUGUGCCCUUCGUUUUCCUAUUAUUCCUCUUUACAGCUCCCUUUUUCGAUUGCCCUCUCAUCACACACAGAGGUACAGACAUGCUUACACGCACACAAGCACGUACGAGUACCAAUAUCCUGUGCGGUCGUGCCUGUGUGUCUGUGCCUUGUGUGUGUUCGAUGGCUUUCUCCUCCUCUCUCUUCCGUUCUCUGUGUGUGUGUGUGUGUGUCUCCGAUGCCCCCCCUCCUUCAUCGCUCUUUUCUCACCUCUUCCCUCCGUGUUUUGUUCGUGUGUAUUACUUUUCCUGUUCUUCUGCUAGCCUUCCAUGUGAGCACCACAGCGAACGGCCAUGUCUCUUCCUUUUUCUGCAACGGCCCCUCUUCUCCCUUGCCCAACUUUUUCGGGCUCUUGUUUGUUUCUCUCCUCUCCUCCUGCACUCAGCACUCUUUCUGUCUGCGCAUGUUGAAGCGCUGGUCGCUUCCCUACUUCCCUCCCUCUCUUUUCCGUUCUUUUUUCGGACUUUUCCGUGAUGGGUGUGUGCGUUGUAGUUGGCCGGUUUCCUAAUGUAUUGCUGUUGUUCUCGGUGGUGUUCUUUUUGCCCGAUUUCCUUUCUUUGUUCGUGUGUGUGUGUUUGGUGUUGGUGGUCCCCCCCUCCUCCAUGUGUGCAAGCGUGUAGGUGCGUGUACGUGUGUGUGUGUGUGUGUGUGUGUGUCUGUGUCUGUGUAGGUUCGACGAUCUUCAACGUACGUUGAUCUUUUGAUUCUUUAUUCCUCGUCCACUUGGUUCUUCUUUGCAGCUUACGGCGAACGCUGGCCCGCAUCGUUGCCGUUGUAUUUUUUCUUUCUUUUUCCUUUUGUUUUGCUCUUUGCUUUCUUAAUUCCUGACCUCCACAGGCCUCGCGCGUCGCUAUUUCCUUUUUACUGUCGUUCUCUGAGUGUGCCCUCUGUCUUGCUUCUUCGUUGUGGGGCCGCCCCUCUAACGCACACGCGCACUCACCAGCACAUGGAAGGUGCUUGCGUGCGGGCGCUUGUGUACUGGAGAGGCGUGCAUGCACACAAUGUAUCGAUUUGCCUUGUGCGUGCGUAUGUGUAACGCGUUGAUAUGUGCGAGGGAGGGAGAGAGAGAGUGCAUGUGUAUGUGUAUGCAUUGUGUGUCGAUGAGGUGAAGUUGCAGGGAACUUCACAAGUGUGCGAUCUCUCUGUGCGUUCAUGCGGUGUACUUGUGUGUUUUGUGUUUUUUUUUCCGACUCAUCUCAAGUUACCGACAAAGGCCAGACAAAAAAACAAAAAUAUAUAUUGUAUGCACGCGCACACACUCCAAGCAAGAAGUGCGUGGGUCUCGCCGCUGUAGCGCACACGGCCGACUCGCCGAAACCGCCCCCUUCCUUAAACCGUUUCACGUUUUUCUUCUCUUCAGACAUCAAACGACGACGGGGUAUGGGGUGGCGAUGGUGGGAAAACCGUGGAGCUGCUGAUAAGGGAAGGGGGGGGGUAUCGCAGAAGGGCAGAGCAGAGGGAGAGCGCAUAUGUGGGUUGAAGGCGGCAGCGGUACUAGUGGUAAAGGCAGCCCAUCUUUCCUAUUAGAAGAGAGGGAGCUGUCGAGGAGAAUGCCGAGUCGUGACAUGGCGCCGGUUUCGUGAAUCCUAAAGGCCCCCUCCUACCUUCCUCUCUCCACUCCCUCCCAUUCUCUUCUUUGCAUGCUCUCGACAAGCCCUGCACCCAACCCUAACUCAUGCCCCACCUCUCUGAGCCGAGCGCUCCAUAAGGCAAGUGCACCCCUAGGGUUGAACGCCUUUUCUGCGCACCCUUCGGGUGAAUCCUCACUCGCCAUCGUCGACCACUCCCUCUCCCUUUUCUCUACCGCUCUCUCACAACAUACCUGCCCUAUCCUCAUGUGCCGCUUCUCUCGACUCAAAG